This 1152-nucleotide ribosomal RNA is filed under the name human gut metagenome. RNAcentral describes it as "bacterial LSU rRNA". It matches the Rfam family "Bacterial large subunit ribosomal RNA", at positions 807 to 1983 of the family's 2925-position model. The record is from RNAcentral.
AGGUGUGGAUAGCGGAGAAAUUCCAAUCGAACCCGGAGAUAGCUGGUUCUCCUCGAAAUAGCUUUAGGGCUAGCCUCGUUUUAGUCUGGUGGAGGUAGAGCACUGAAUUCCCAAGGGGGCGUCAAAGCUUACUAAGGGAUAUCAAACUCCGAAUGCCAUACAGAUGAUGAACGGGAGUCAGACUAUACGAGAUAAGUUGGAUAGUCAAAAGGGAAAGAGCCCAGACCCGCAGCUAAGGUCCCAAAGUGCAUGUUAAGUGGAAAAGGAUGUGGGAUCUCUAAGACAACUAGGAUGUUGGCUCAGAAGCAGCCAUUCAUUCAAAGAGUGCGUAACAGCUCACUAGUCGAGAGGUCCUGCGCCGAAAAUGUCCGGGGCUAAAACAUGCCACCGAAGCUCAGGAAUGACAUAGUCAUUGGUAGAGGAGCAUUCUUAACGCGAAGAAGCAGUACCGUAAGGAGCUGUGGAGUGCUAAGAAGAGAGAAUGCCGGAAUGAGUAGCGAGAACAAGGUGAGAAUCCUUGUGGCCGAAUAUCCAAGGUCUCCAGGGUAAAGCUGAUCUGCCCUGGGAAAGUCGGGACCUAAGGUGAGGCUGAAAAGCGUAGCCGAUGGACAACAGGUUGAUAUUCCUGUACCGCAUGGUAACAGAACUGUGGGGACACGGGAGGGAAACAUGGGCCGGAAAUGGAAAGUCCGGUACAAACGGGGUAGUCGCACAGCAGGCAAAUCCGCUGUGCAUGAGACGAAGCCGUGAUGUGGAGCGAACUAAAGUAGUGAAGCAUGUGCCCCCUCCUGUCGAGAAAAGCCGCUAUUGUUUGCCAUGCGCCCGUACCGUAAACCGACACAGGUGGAUGAGGAGAGAAUCCUAAGGCCGGCGGGAGAAGCAUUGUCAAGGAACUCGGCAAAAUGACCCCGUAACUUCGGGAGAAGGGGUGCCCACGCAAGUGGGCCGCAGAGAAUAGGCUCAAGCAACUGUUUAGCAAAAACACAGGUCUAUGCGAAACCGUAAGGUGAUGUAUAUGGGCUGACGCCUGCCCGGUGCUGGAAGGUUAAGAGGAGAGGUUAGAGCAAUCGAAGCUUUGAAUUGAAGCCCCAGUAAACGGCGGCCGUAACUAUAACGGUCCUAAGGUAGCGAAAUUCCUUGUCGGGUAAGUUC